CAAAGGUGUAUAUGGAACACUGAAAACUAGAAAGCUCUCCUAUCACAAAAUGUAUCUGUACACAAUACUAACAGCUGAGAGGCACCUUGAGGAAGCGAGCAUCAUGAAAAAGAGUUAACCAACAAAAGCAAUCAUGUGUCUUUUGUGGUGGUGCCAGAAACUGGAGAGAACCAGGUGUAUUAUCCACAGUCCCAUUCAUCAUUUCAGAGAAGUGGACAAGAUGUGCCUCAUGAUCUCUGGCAGCUCAGAUGGGAGUGGGAAGCACAAUCAGGUACAGGAAAUCUGCUGUGGACUGGCCUCUACACAGCAGAAAAGGCCAAAACCAGAGCUUGACCAUGGAUGAAGAAAGCUGCCCAAAACAGGAGUGCAGCCUGAAGAGCCAGGAGUACUCAGGUUUUCUUUCACAGGCAGGAGGGAUAUCUGUUCUACUCUGAAAAGUCUCCCUGCUAUGAUCCUGAGGAUCCAUCCAGUGUUCUGGAUGUAGCAUCAUAUCUGAAAUCAAGCAAUGUGCAAAGAUACAGAAACCAUUGUGCCAAUUAACUCCUGAAUCUUCUUAGGAAUCAAGACUGUCUUCUUAGGUAAGUCCAGUAUUUGACACUGAUAAAAUGGACAGUGAUCUUUAGCUCUUGAUUUAAACUCUUG
RNAcentral lists this long non-coding RNA (642 nucleotides) under Parus major (Great Tit). RNAcentral describes it as "lncRNA (ENSPMJG00000010150.1)". The record is from RNAcentral. Lineage: Eukaryota; Metazoa; Chordata; Aves; Passeriformes; Paridae.